GAUGAACGCUAGCUACAGGCUUAACACAUGCAAGUCGAGGGGAAACGACAUCGAAAGCUUGCUUUUGAUGGGCGUCGACCGGCGCACGGGUGAGUAACGCGUAUCCAACCUGCCCAUCACUUGGGAAUAACCUUGCGAAAGUAAGACUAAUACCCAAUGAUAUCCCACGAAGGCAUCGGAAUGGGAUUAAAGAUUUAUCGGUGAUGGAUGGGGAUGCGUCUGAUUAGCUUGUUGGCGGGGUAACGGCCCACCAAGGCAACGAUCAGUAGGGGUUCUGAGAGGAAGGUCCCCCACAUUGGAACUGAGACACGGUCCAAACUCCGACGGGAGGCAGCAGUGAGGAAUAUUGGUCAAUGGGCGAGAGCCUGAACCAGCCAAGUAGCGUGCAGGAAGACGGCCCUAUGGGUUGUAAACUGCUUUUAUAAGGGAAUAAAGUGGGUCACGUGUGACUUUUUGCCUGUACCUUAUGAAUAAGGACCGGCUAAUUCCGUG
Molecule: ribosomal RNA, 492 nt
Filed under: uncultured bacterium
Lineage: Bacteria
Description: partial 16S ribosomal RNA
Rfam family: Bacterial small subunit ribosomal RNA
Source: RNAcentral